Long non-coding RNA from Mus musculus (house mouse), 998 nucleotides. RefSeq annotates it as predicted gene 15325. The transcript is spliced from 2 exons. Lineage: Eukaryota; Metazoa; Chordata; Mammalia; Rodentia; Muridae. The record is from RefSeq and is a predicted model, not a curated record.
UGGCCCUUUAAAUAAUCCAGAGCCUUGCAACAACACCUGUGUUAGUUUCUUUGGAAGUGACUGCAAUUUCUGAUCAUUCUUCCCAGGUGAACACGCCAUAGCGGGUGUGUGCCUGGUGCUGCUAAACACCACAGAUACCUUGUAUCUUUAAGGUGGGGUUGGAGUUCUCCAGUUGGUCACCGUAUCCAACUCCUCCUUCUUCCUUCCCCUCAGCCAUAUCUCUGGUCAGUUCCCAGAAGUGGUAUCUCCAGCCUUGUUCUCUUCAAAGCUAACCCAGCACCCUCCCUCCUGGCUUUUCUACUCACAGUGCGGUUUGGCCCAGGAGGUCUGAAUUGAACAGGGACAGCCUGAGCUGAACUUCAGGGAAUGGGAGGUUCCAGUGUUUGCCUGAGGCGUAAGUAGUCAUUCAGCAAUCAGGAACUCUUACCUGGGAGCUGUCCAUCCCAGCUGUUGGCACUUCUGGCACCGUGGAUCUAUUGAGGAGGGCCAACCCAAACAGGCUACUUCUGCUCUUCCUUCAAGGGACAGUCACAAGAUUACCUUCUAUGGAAUGUUUUUAGAAUGGAAAAUGGCUGAAUCCUCUCCAUGAAGGAGCAGGUGUUCUGGGUAUGGUGGACCAAGUCCUUGCUGGGUCUAAUGAGGCAGCAUGACGUGGCAGUGACCUCCAUGAUGACUCGGUGAAGAAGCGAUGACUUUGCCACCCCUCCCUCCAGGCAGUUCACUCUGUCCACCCAACUCCCAUCCCAGUUUGGCUCUUCUGUCUUCUCUCUCCUGCACCCUCUCCCCUCAUGGAGGACUUUAAGUCUCUUUCCUGAAAUGUCCCAUCCUGCUUGCCUUUCAAAGUUUCCUAGAAGGCUUCGAUGGAAGCAGUGUCCAGUUGAUCGCUUCGGGGAGCGUGGGAAAUCUCCCUGAGGUGGACACCAGCCAUCCCUGAUUCCUAAAAACCCACGCUACCUGUGAAUCCCAAGAAUAAAAUCCUGCCUGAUCUCCUUUUCCAA